UUCGGAUUGCAGCCUGCAACUCGGCUGCAUGAAGCUGGAAUCGCUAGUAAUCGCGGAUCAGCAUGCCGCGGUGAAUACGUUCCCGGGCCUUGUACACACCGCCCGUCACACCAUGGGAGCCGGUAAUACCCGAAGCCAGUAGUCUAACCGAAAGGAAGGAGCUGCCGAAGGCGGGGCAGGUAACUGGGGUGAAGUCGUAACAAGGUAAC
This 209-nucleotide ribosomal RNA is filed under the name uncultured bacterium. RNAcentral describes it as "partial 16S ribosomal RNA". It matches the Rfam family "Bacterial small subunit ribosomal RNA", at positions 1292 to 1500 of the family's 1533-position model. The record is from RNAcentral.